UCCGUAGGUGAACCUGCGGAAGGAUCAUUAUUAUACAAUAGAGGUGUAAAGGUUGUUGCUAAUCCUAGAAAGAUUGUGCACACCCAAGCCCUUUUAUCUAUUCUGAUCUCACCCCUUUUGUGCAUUAUGGGUGUGGGUUUCCUUUAUAUUAGAGGGGCCUGCAUCUUUUUUCUAUAAAACUCAAUAUAAUGUAGAAUGUCUUUUUUUAUUGCAGUUAUUUGCAAUUAAUAUAACUUUCAACAACGGAUCUCUUGGCUCUCGCAUCGAUGAAGAACGCAGCGAAAUGCGAUAUGUAAUGUGAAUUGCAGAAUUCAGUGAAUCAUCGAAUCUUUGAACGCACCUUGUGCCCCUUGGCAUUCCGAGGGGUACACCCAUUUGAGUGUCAUGAAAUUUUCAAAAUCCCCUUUUUCAAUACUGAAAAAAGAGAUUUUGGACUUGGGGGGUUAAUGCUAGCUUUUAUAUUAUUUUAAAAGUGAGCUCCUCUAAAACAAAUUAGUAGGUUAUUAUGCUUAUGCUAUAUCCUUAAUGUGAUAAAAAUGUUUGUACAUUUUGGAUUUGGUAUUAUAUUCUAAAAGCCUGCUUCUAACUGUCUUAUAGACAAUGAUGGUGUUUUGGUCACUACUAUAUAUAUUGGUAAGAGGCUGAACCCAUAAAAACUUCUUGACCUCAAAUUGGGUGAGACUACCCGCUGAACUUAAGCAUAUCAAUAAGCGGAGGA
RNAcentral lists this small RNA (718 nucleotides) under Russula lutensis. Its description in RNAcentral is "eukaryotic LSU rRNA". The stretch from base 232 to 385 matches the Rfam family "5.8S ribosomal RNA". Lineage: Eukaryota; Fungi; Basidiomycota; Agaricomycetes; Russulales; Russulaceae. The record is from RNAcentral.